UGCCCAGCAACUCCUAUCCCUACCUCCUCGCGGUACUGGCCGGGGUACGAGUAACCUUAGGGAAGAUCGGGUAACCAACCCCCGGUGGGAACUUUGGUCGUAUGCUGACAGAAAAGG
This 117-nucleotide ribozyme is filed under the name Aedes aegypti (yellow fever mosquito). RNAcentral's name for it is "drz-agam-1 ribozyme". It matches the Rfam family "drz-agam-1 ribozyme". Lineage: Eukaryota; Metazoa; Arthropoda; Insecta; Diptera; Culicidae. The record is from Rfam by way of RNAcentral.